AGUUGCGUGUGGUAGCUUGUUGACAACAGAACCGGGCACCGGAUGCGGAUGCCAAAAAGAAAACUCUCUGAAACGAAACACCAAUUAGCAGCAGCAGCAGCAGCAGCAGCAGCAGCAGCGAGCAACUAAUUGCAACUAAUUAAAAGUUUCUGAUAUAUAAAUACAUAUGUAUAUGCGAAUGAAAAUGGCAAUGUUAAUGCAAGUGUAAGCAAAACGAAGAAGUCGAAGAAGAGAAGGCGAAAAGAAAGCAAGAUAGAAAGAAAGAAAUAGUGUUUGUUGGUCAGUGUAAAAGUCGAGAGUGCUGCAACAACCAGUUGCAGCUGGAGCCAGACCGAUGCAUGUGGCGCACAGUUAAGUACCGUUAACAUUAGAGUCAAGUUAGUUAACUACAAUGCCAUCUCCUCCAUUUCCUAUUGGUCAACUAGAAGCGAAAAUCGAAUCAACAGCCGCCAGUUGCUAAGCCCGAGAUUUCACGUGGAAGCAGCAGCAGCAUAAAUAAAU
Molecule: long non-coding RNA, 501 nt
Organism: Drosophila mojavensis
Lineage: Eukaryota; Metazoa; Arthropoda; Insecta; Diptera; Drosophilidae
Exons: 4
Source: RefSeq, a predicted model, not a curated record